GAUGAAGAACGCAGCGAAAUGCGAUACGUAAUGCGAAUUGCAGAUUCAGCGAGUCAUCGAGUCUUUGAACGCACAUUGCGCCCCCUGGUAUUCCGGGGGGCAUGCCUGUCCGAGCGUCAUUGCUGCCCUCAAGCACGGCUUGUGUGUUGGGCCUCCGUCCUCCUCCCGGGGGACGGGCCCGAAAGGCAGCGGCGGCACCGCGUCCGGUCCUCGAGCGUAUGGGGCUUCGUCACCCGCUCUUGUAGGCCCGGCCGGCGCUUGCCGACACAUCAAUCUUUUUUCCAGGUUGACCUCGGAUCAGGUAGGGAUACCCGCUGAACUUAAGCAUAUCAAUAAGCGGAGGA
This 344-nucleotide unclassified non-coding RNA is filed under the name soil metagenome. Its description in RNAcentral is "partial contains 5.8S ribosomal RNA, internal transcribed spacer 2, and large subunit ribosomal RNA". The stretch from base 1 to 119 matches the Rfam family "5.8S ribosomal RNA", at positions 35 to 154 of the family's 154-position model. The record is from RNAcentral.